This 477-nucleotide ribosomal RNA is filed under the name uncultured organism. RNAcentral describes it as "partial 16S ribosomal RNA". It matches the Rfam family "Bacterial small subunit ribosomal RNA", at positions 331 to 799 of the family's 1533-position model. The record is from RNAcentral.
GUACACUCCUACGGGAGGCAGCAGUGGGGAAUUUUGGACAAUGGGCGAAAGCCUGAUCCAGCCAUGCCGCGUGCAGGAUGAAGGCCUUCGGGUUGUAAACUGCUUUUGUACGGAACGAAACGGCCUUUUCUAAUAAAGAGGGCUAAUGACGGUACCGUAAGAAUAAGCACCGGCUAACUACGUGCCAGCAGCCGCGGUAAUACGUAGGGUGCAAGCGUUAAUCGGAAUUACUGGGCGUAAAGCGUGCGCAGGCGGUUAUGUAAGACAGUUGUGAAAUCCCCGGGCUCAACCUGGGAACUGCAUCUGUGACUGCAUAGCUAGAGUACGGUAGAGGGGGAUGGAAUUCCGCGUGUAGCAGUGAAAUGCGUAGAUAUGCGGAGGAACACCGAUGGCGAAGGCAAUCCCCUGGACCUGUACUGACGCUCAUGCACGAAAGCGUGGGGAGCAAACAGGAUUAGAAACCCUGGUAGUCCCAUG